Molecule: ribosomal RNA, 427 nt
Filed under: uncultured bacterium
Lineage: Bacteria
Description: bacterial SSU rRNA
Rfam family: Bacterial small subunit ribosomal RNA
Source: RNAcentral
UGGGGAAUUUUGGACAAUGGGCGCAAGCCUGAUCCAGCCAUGCCGCGUGAGUGAAGAAGGCCUUCGGGUUGUAAAGCUCUUUCGGACGGGAAGAAACGGCGGGCUCUAACAUAGCCUGUCGAUGACGGUACCGUAAGAAGAAGCACCGGCUAACUACGUGCCAGCAGCCGCGGUAAUACGUAGGGUGCGAGCGUUAAUCGGAAUUACUGAGCGUAAAGCGUGCGCAGGCGGUUUUGUAAGACAGAUGUGAAAUCCCCGGGCUUAACCUGGGAACUGCGUUUGUGACUGCAAGGCUGGAGUACGGCAGAGGGGGGUGGAAUUCCACGUGUAGCAGUGAAAUGCGUAGAGAUGUGGAGGAACACCGAUGGCGAAGGCAGCCCCCUGGGCCUGUACUGACGCUCAUGCACGAAAGCGUGGGGAGCAAACA